Molecule: ribosomal RNA, 305 nt
Filed under: uncultured bacterium
Lineage: Bacteria
Description: bacterial SSU rRNA
Rfam family: Bacterial small subunit ribosomal RNA
Source: RNAcentral
UCCUACGGGACGCAGCAGUGAGGAAUAUUGGUCAAUGGGCGCGAGCCUGAACCAGCCAAGUCGCGUGAGGGAUGACGGCCCUACGGGUUGUAAACCUCUUUUGCCGGGGAGCAACGGGCGCCACGUGUGGCGCCACUGAGAGUACCCGGAGAAAAAGCAUCGGCUAACUCCGUGCCAGCAGCCGCGGUAAUACGGAGGAUGCGAGCGUUAUCCGGAUUUAUUGGGUUUAAAGGGUGCGCAGGCGGAAUGUCAAGUCAGCGGUAAAAUUUCGGGGCUCAACCCCGUCGUGCCGUUGAAACUGGCGU